CGGACGGGUGAGUAACACGUGGAUAACCUACCUAUAAGACUGGGAUAACUUCGGGAAACCGGAGCUAAUACCGGAUAAUAUUUUGAACCGCAUGGUUCAAAAGUGAAAGACGGUCUUGCUGUCACCUAUAGAUGGAUCCGCGCUGCAUUAGCUAGUUGGUAAGGUAACGGCUUACCAAGGCAACGAUGCGUAGCCGACCUGAGAGGGUGAUCGGCCACACUGGAACUGAGACACGGUCCAG
RNAcentral lists this ribosomal RNA (241 nucleotides) under uncultured Staphylococcus sp. RNAcentral's name for it is "partial 16S ribosomal RNA". It matches the Rfam family "Bacterial small subunit ribosomal RNA", at positions 99 to 334 of the family's 1533-position model. The record is from RNAcentral. Lineage: Bacteria; Bacillati; Bacillota; Bacilli; Caryophanales; Staphylococcaceae.